UUGGCACGGCGAUCGCCAUAGGGAUGCAUGCGAAGAAAUUCGGCUGGUACAUCCCGAAGAUUGAGAGGCCAGAGACGUUGACCGGUGCCGAUUUGUGCUGACAGCUGAAGCGAACUAGUGUUGCUCAUUCCAAAUUGCUAACAGCGUUCGUCAGGUGUUGAUUAGACAAGGAACUAGUGUUGUCUGUUUCAUCAUCCUGUAUGUUAGCAAAAACAGGUACAGGUGUGAGUAUUAGCUGCUAGAAAAAAAAACUCCAAGAAGAAACAUGCUGUACAUC
This 277-nucleotide long non-coding RNA is filed under the name Setaria italica (foxtail millet). Its description in RNAcentral is "long non-coding RNA (SITA_LNC001785)". Lineage: Eukaryota; Viridiplantae; Streptophyta; Magnoliopsida; Poales; Poaceae. The record is from RNAcentral.